RNAcentral lists this small RNA (187 nucleotides) under Kurthia sp. 11kri321. Its description in RNAcentral is "Bacillus sRNA ncr1575". It matches the Rfam family "Bacillus sRNA ncr1575". The record is from Rfam by way of RNAcentral. Lineage: Bacteria; Bacillati; Bacillota; Bacilli; Caryophanales; Caryophanaceae.
GAUUCUUGAACGAAAGGAAUGAGGAUGGCCGAUGAAGUAAUCUUAUUUUUUACACGCGAAGUGAAAGAAACUUUGUAUAAAAAAUAGGAUUAGUCUGUCCACAUUCCAUUUAUUUUAUAAAAAUAACCCGUUUUUUCGGUAUGUUUUUUAGACUAAUCCUUCCAAAAAUUUUUGGAGGGAUUUUUUA